UUUUAUUUAUUUAAUAAUAUCCUAGUAGAGAAUUCCUGCUUUAAUUCAAGGAAACUGUGAAACUGCUGAUGUCAAGUGUUAACAAAAUUGUUAUUCGUCAAGAAGCAUGUGCAGAAUCCAAGCAGAGAAGCUUCUACAUUUGUUUCUGCAUUUCUUUCCCGAUUGGAAAAUGAAAGUAGUAGUAAUAGAAAAAUAUCAAAAAGUUUAAUAUUUGAAAAAGCGAUUCCAGUUGGGAAAAUCAGAAAGAUUGUGCUUGCUUAGCUUGAUGCAAAUGUUUGAUGUCUGACUGUCCAGCUGAAAUAUUCGAACGAAAGCCUGGAGCCUGGUUACAUAUUUAACUACCAAUGGCCAAGAAUGUCUUUUUUUUUUUUUUUUUUUUCCGUUGUGUGUGUGUGUGUGUGUGCGUGUUCGGUAAAGAAUAGACCGGAAAGACCAAAUCCACAGGCAUUUAACACAAAUCUUGAGUAAUUUCUUUCAUUGGGUCAGUUUUUUGCAAGUUGUUAACAUAUAAUUGUUUCUUUAUCUUUAAAACACGUGACACAUUCACGCACACUCUUUUAAGCUAUAUCUCGAUGUCUUAUUAUUCAAUAUUUAGAGCAAACUUCAUGCAAUGAUACCUGCGCCAAAAUGUGCAAAUAAUAACACGAUAAUAUUAAAAAAUUAAUCAAAUAAAUACUUGAUUAGAAUUAA
Stegodyphus dumicola is the source of this 690-nucleotide long non-coding RNA. RefSeq lists it as uncharacterized. Lineage: Eukaryota; Metazoa; Arthropoda; Arachnida; Araneae; Eresidae. The record is from RefSeq and is a predicted model, not a curated record.